RNAcentral lists this long non-coding RNA (1871 nucleotides) under Cyanistes caeruleus (blue tit). Its description in RNAcentral is "lncRNA (ENSCCEG00000007867.1)". The record is from RNAcentral. Lineage: Eukaryota; Metazoa; Chordata; Aves; Passeriformes; Paridae.
CGUGUGUCGGGCCCCGCAGUGCGCGCGUGGGCGGCUGCUCCGGGGGGCGGAGUGUGUGUUUGGGUGCGCGUGUGCCCGCGGGUGCGCGCUUGUUUGUACGUGGGAGUGUCUGUGUGCUUGUGUGAGCUUCUCGUGUGCUGUGGGAUUGUGCGUGUGCCCGCCUGUGCAAGUGCUUGUGUGGUUCAGUGCGGGUGUGUGCCCACGCCUGUGCACGCUUCUGCGUUUGUGUGAGUGUGCGUGGAUUCUUUCCGGUGCAUCUGUGUAUGUGCAUUUUGUGCACGUGUAUUCGUGUGAAUGUGUUCUUACACGUCAGCGUGUGUGCCUCUGUGUGCUUUUGUCUUGCCUGUGUGUGCACAGGGGUUUGUUCACACAACUGUUCCUUCAUACAGGUUUGUGUGCUUAAGUUUUUGCAUGGAUGUGCACAUGGUGCACGUGUGCACAUGUGCAUUUGUGUAAAUGCAUCGAGUGUGUAAAAGCAUUAUCUGAAGUACCGAUGGACAUGGGUGUGUGAGCUGGGAAAUUCUGGCAGCCAGUCACAAAGCAUGGGUCCUUGCAGGUGUGUCCACAGAGGGGUUUGCAUUUUCCUGUGUUCAAGUCUGUGGGGGUGUGUCUUAGAUGCAUGGAGUACAUUUGUGGAAAGAUGUAUCCUGGUUAGGAACUUUGAAUGUGGACUGAAGCUUUCUAUAUAGGUGUGGGUGCAUGCAUGAAUUUGUAUGACCACAUAUUUUUAUACAUACAUGAUACAUGUAAUAGUACCACAACACCACAGAUAACAGUAAUGAAGAAAUCUGGAAAGGUAAUGAUUCACCCUUUAGUUCCAAAGCCCAGUUUAAGAGAGGAGGUUUGCACGGCUGUGAUUCUGCUCCCAUGUGGGUGUCAGGGUGAGCAGUAUGUGCCUUUCUUCCACCUGUACUUAAAACCAAACCCUCUUUCAGUGAGGCCAGCAGCAAUUCAGUGUGCCUCUGCCUAUGGCUGGCUGAACUCUAUAGCUCUAAUGCAUGAGGAGAGAAUACCUUCAGCUACAAGUGCUGACACUUACCAGCCCCAUUGGAUCCGUACAUGUUUGUUGACUGGGGAGAAGCAAAGAGUACACUUUAAUUGAGUGGAUGAACAUUUACUGAAUUUAUCUAUACAAUGAUUCAUCAAAUGUUCUUCAGAAGCAGCUGUUAUUCUCAUACAAUAACUGGCUUCUGUGUCACCCUUUCUUGUUGAAUGAAGUAAGUCAACAACCUUCCUACCCUCUCUUAGAUGCACUUCUUCCAAAACAAGGCUGAAACACCUAUCAGUAUGUCUGUGUGAGAGGCUAAAAGUAGUGACACCUGCUCUGCAGAUAAACAUCAGUCUUCAGAGCUCUCACUGCAGUAUCUGCAGCUGAUGCUGUGCCGUUUUAUGUAACCCAUUUUCUUAUUUUCCAUAUGGCCAACAACCUUGAAUGAGAACAGGAUCUUAUCUGCUUAUUGUCUCUACUUGAAUUAAUAAUCUUCUGUUUGUGAUAUCUCAAAUUAUUGCUAUGAAAAUGACUGUAAUUUCACAGAAGGCCGUGGUAAAAAAUAAGAUGUAAAUGCUUCUAAUCAAAGAUACUCUUCAUGCAAAUGAAAUUCUAAUUAGAAGAGGAAACAAUCUGUUUUAGCAGACCACCAUGAGAAGAGCUGCUCAGCAUUAAAUAUAGUUUGAUAAAGACAUUAGCUUGCAAAAAGAUACUGGAGUAAGUAAAAGUAAUUGAGUGUUUGAUCUGGCUUUUAGGUUAUAAUCCUAGCAUAUUCAAUCCAUGGAUUGAAUUUAGGAAUUGGUUUAGGGUUGAAUAUAGCUGUAAUCAGUAUAAUUUUUGCUGUUAGGACCUUUACAAAAAUAAAUAUUUCAUUUUUUUUACA